GGUUAAGCGACUAAGCGUACACGGUGGAUGCCCUGGCAGUCAGAGGCGAUGAAGGGCGUGCUAAUCUGCGAUAAGCGCCGGUAAGGUGAUAUGAACCGUUAUAACCGGCGAUACCCGAAUGGGGAAACCCAGUGUGACUCGUCACACUAUCAUUAACUGAAUCCAUAGGUUAAUGAGGCGAACCGGGGGAACUGAAACAUCUAAGUACCCCGAGGAAAAGAAAUCAACCGAGAUUCCCCCAGUAGCGGCGAGCGAACGGGGAGGAGCCCAGAGCCUGAAUCAGCAUGUGUGUUAGUGGAAGCGUCUGGAAAGGCGCGCGAUACAGGGUGACAGCCCCGUACACAAAAGCGCAUGUGCUGUGAGCUCGAUGAGUAGGGCGGGACACGUGGUAUCCUGUCUGAAUAUGGGGGGACCAUCCUCCAAGGCUAAAUACUCCUGACUGACCGAUAGUGAACCAGUACCGUGAGGGAAAGGCGAAAAGAACCCCGGCGAGGGGAGUGAAAAAGAACCUGAAACCGUGUACGUACAAGCAGUGGGAGCACCCUUUGGGUGUGACUGCGUACCUUUUGUAUAAUGGGUCAGCGACUUAUAUUCUGUAGCAAGGUUAACCGAAUAGGGGAGCCGGAGGGAAACCGAGUCUUAAC
RNAcentral lists this ribosomal RNA (644 nucleotides) under Salmonella enterica. RNAcentral describes it as "partial 23S ribosomal RNA". It matches the Rfam family "Bacterial large subunit ribosomal RNA", at positions 1 to 688 of the family's 2925-position model. RNAcentral also lists the same sequence under 3 other names. Lineage: Bacteria; Pseudomonadati; Pseudomonadota; Gammaproteobacteria; Enterobacterales; Enterobacteriaceae. The record is from RNAcentral.